This 446-nucleotide ribosomal RNA is filed under the name uncultured bacterium. RNAcentral describes it as "partial 16S ribosomal RNA". It matches the Rfam family "Bacterial small subunit ribosomal RNA", at positions 338 to 795 of the family's 1533-position model. The record is from RNAcentral.
CCUACGGGUGACAGCAGUAGGGAAUUUUCGGCAAUGGGGGGAACCCUGACCGAGCAACGCCGCGUGAACGAAGAAGUUAUUCGUAAUGUAAAGUUCUUUUAACAGGGAAGAAAGAGAAAUUUGACGGUACCUGAAGAAUAAGCUCCGGCUAACUACGUGCCAGCAGCCGCGGUAAUACGUAGGGAGCGAGCGUUAUCCGGAAUCAUUGGGCGAAAGGGGUGCGUAGAUGGCAUAGUAAGUCUUUUGUAAAAAUGCCGGGCUAAACCCAGUAGGGCAAAAGAUACGGGAAAGUUAGAGUACGAUAGAGGCAAGUGGAACUCCAGGUGUAGCGGUAAAAUGCUUAAAUAUAAGUAAGAACACCAGUGGCGAAGGCGGCUUGCUGGGUCGAUACUGACAUUGAGGCACGAAAGCGUGGGGAGCAAACAGGAUUAGAUACCCGGGUAGUC